RNAcentral lists this unclassified non-coding RNA (568 nucleotides) under Hevea brasiliensis (rubber tree). Lineage: Eukaryota; Viridiplantae; Streptophyta; Magnoliopsida; Malpighiales; Euphorbiaceae. The record is from RNAcentral.
AUGGUAUUUAGUACAUCUCUAUUACCAAAAGAUAAAUUGAUUUUGAACAAAAUUCCAUAUUCAAAAUAAUUAAUAAAUGUAAUAAUUAACAAAUAUAAUUUAGAUAUUUACUAUUUAAUAUAAUAUAAUUAUUUAAUAUUUAAAUAUAUUUUAAAUUAAUUGAAGCCAAUUUCCUCAUAAAACCCAUAAAGUCAUAAAUUACAGAUAUUAAAUAUUAUAAUAUUAUUAAGUAACCUUUAUUUUUGUAUAAUUUGAUAAUUGCAAACUAUUCCAUCGUAAUUAUUAAAUUUACCUUUUAGUUUAGUUAAAAACAUUACAAUUUUCUAAAUUUAAUAAAAUUUAUUUUGUUAAUUAAUCAACAUCAAUUAUAAAAUUCAUAAAGCGUAUUCUAAUAACCACAUUGAUUUUAUUGUGAACGAAGGCAAGCAGAUGAAUGAAGCAACACUGGUGUAUAUAACUGCCUAUGAGUCGAGUUACAAAGAUCAAACUUUACCAUAGUUCUUAUUUAAUCACUUUAACGAAAUUAUGUUUCAGUAUAAAAAAGAAUAAACUAUAUAAAAUUUUAUUA